This 250-nucleotide ribosomal RNA is filed under the name uncultured bacterium. Its description in RNAcentral is "partial 16S ribosomal RNA". It matches the Rfam family "Bacterial small subunit ribosomal RNA", at positions 524 to 773 of the family's 1533-position model. The record is from RNAcentral.
UACGAAGGGUGCUAGCGUUGUUCGGAAUGACUGGGCGUAAAGGGCGCGUAGGCGGUUUUUUAAGUUAGGCGUGAAAGCCCUGGGCUUAACCCAGGACGUGCGCUUAAGACUAAAAGACUUGAGUUUGGAAGAGGUAAGUGGAAUUCCUAGUGUAGAGGUGAAAUUCGUAGAUAUUAGGAAGAACACCGGUGGCGAAGGCGGCUUACUGGUCCAAUACUGACGCUGAGGCGCGAAAGUGUGGGGAGCAAAC